Molecule: ribosomal RNA, 590 nt
Filed under: uncultured Pseudomonas sp.
Lineage: Bacteria; Pseudomonadati; Pseudomonadota; Gammaproteobacteria; Pseudomonadales; Pseudomonadaceae
Description: bacterial SSU rRNA
Rfam family: Bacterial small subunit ribosomal RNA
Source: RNAcentral
GCGGGGCUUUAUUGGGCACGUUUCGAAGGACGCUAAUACCGCAUACGUCCUACGGGAGAAAGUGGGGGAUCUUCGGCAAUACGCUAUCAGAUGAGCCUAGGUACGAUUAGCUAGUUGGUGCAGUGUAAAGGCUCACCAAGGCGACGAUCGUUAACUGGUCUGAGAGGAUGAUCAGUCACACUGGAACUGAGACACGGUCCAGACUCCUACGGGAGGCAGCAGUGGGGAAUAUUGGACAAUGGGCGAAAGCCUGAUCCAGCCAUGCCGCGUGUGUGAAGAAGGUCUUCGGAUUGUAAAGCACUUUAAGUUGGGAGGAAGGGCAGUAAGUUAAUACCUUGCUGUUUUGACGUUACCAACAGAAUAAGCACCGGCUAACUUCGUGCCAGCAGCCGCGGUAAUACGAAGGGUGCAAGCGUUAAUCGGAAUUACUGGGCGUAAAGCGCGUGUAGGUGGUUUGGUAAGUUGGAUGUGAAAGCCCCGGGCUCAACCUGGGAACUGCAUCCAAAACUGGCAAGCUAGAGUACGGUAGAGGGUGGUGGAAUUUCCUGUGUAGCGGUGAAAUGCGUAGAUAUAGGAAGGAACACCAGUGA